ACGUAGGGUGCAAGCGUUAAUCGGAAUUACUGGGCGUAAGGCGUGCGCAGGCGGUUAUAUAAGACAAAUGUGAAAUCCCCGGGCUCAACCUGGGAACUGCAUAUGUGACUGUAUAGCUAGAGUGCGGCAGAGGGGGAUGGAAUUCCGCGUGUAGCAGUGAAAUGCGUAGAUAUGCGGAGGAACACCGAUGGCGAAGGCAAUCCCCUGGGCCUGCACUGACGCUCAUGCACGAAAGCGUGGGGAGCAAACAGG
RNAcentral lists this ribosomal RNA (252 nucleotides) under uncultured bacterium. RNAcentral describes it as "partial 16S ribosomal RNA". It matches the Rfam family "Bacterial small subunit ribosomal RNA", at positions 525 to 776 of the family's 1533-position model. The record is from RNAcentral.